Molecule: transfer RNA, 82 nt
Filed under: Pleuronectes platessa (European plaice)
Lineage: Eukaryota; Metazoa; Chordata; Actinopteri; Pleuronectiformes; Pleuronectidae
Rfam family: tRNA
About the family: Transfer RNA (tRNA) molecules are approximately 80 nucleotides in length. Their secondary structure includes four short double-helical elements and three loops (D, anti-codon, and T loops). Further hydrogen bonds mediate the characteristic L-shaped molecular structure. tRNAs have two regions of fundamental functional importance: the anti-codon, which is responsible for specific mRNA codon recognition, and the 3' end, to which the tRNAs corresponding amino acid is attached (by aminoacyl-tRNA synthetases). tRNAs cope with the degeneracy of the genetic code in two manners: having more than one tRNA (with a specific anti-codon) for a particular amino acid; and 'wobble' base-pairing, i.e. permitting non-standard base-pairing at the 3rd anti-codon position.
Source: Rfam by way of RNAcentral
ACGAGGGUGGCCGAGUGGUCAAGGCGAUGGACUGCUAAUCCAUUGUGCUCUGCCACGCGUGGUUCGAAUCCCAUCCGUCGCA